Molecule: ribosomal RNA, 587 nt
Filed under: uncultured bacterium
Lineage: Bacteria
Description: partial 16S ribosomal RNA
Rfam family: Bacterial small subunit ribosomal RNA
Source: RNAcentral
UGGGGAAUUUUGGACAAUGGGCGAAAGCCUGAUCCAGCAAUGCCGCGUGUGUGAAGAAGGCCUUCGGGUUGUAAAGCACUUUUGUCCGGAAAGAAAUCCUUGGCUCUAAUACAGUCGGGGGAUGACGGUACCGGAAGAAUAAGCACCGGCUAACUACGUGCCAGCAGCCGCGGUAAUACGUAGGGUGCAAGCGUUAAUCGGAAUUACUGGGCGUAAAGCGUGCGCAGGCGGUUUGCUAAGACCGAUGUGAAAUCCCCGGGCUCAACCUGGGAACUGCAUUGGUGACUGGCAGGCUAGAGUAUGGCAGAGGGGGGUAGAAUUCCACGUGUAGCAGUGAAAUGCGUAGAGAUGUGGAGGAAUACCGAUGGCGAAGGCAGCCCCCUGGGCCAAUACUGACGCUCAUGCACGAAAGCGUGGGGAGCAAAACAGGAUUAGAUACCCUGGUAGUCCACGCCCUAAAACGAUGUCAACUAGUGGUUGGGGAUUCAUUUCCUUAGUAACGUAGCUAACGCGUGAAGUUGACCGCCUGGGGAGUACGGUCGCAAGAUUAAAACUCAAAUGAAUUGACGGGGUCAUAGCUGUUUCCU